UGGGGAAUAUUGCACAAUGGGCGGAAGCCUGAUGCAGCGACGCCGCGUGAGGGAUGACGGCCUUCGGGUUGUAAACCUCUUUCGACUCCGACGAAGCGAAAGUGACGGUAGGAGUAUAAGAAGCACCGGCCAACUACGUGCCAGCAGCCGCGGUAAUACGUAGGGUGCGAGCGUUGUCCGGAAUUACUGGGCGUAAAGAGCUUGUAGGCGGCUUGUCGCGUCGAUCGUGAAAACUCGGGGCUCAACCCCGAGCUUGCGGUCGAUACGGGCAGGCUUGAGUACUUCAGGGGAGACUGGAAUUCCUGGUGUAGCGGUGAAAUGCGCAGAUAUCAGGAGGAACACCGGUGGCGAAGGCGGGUCUCUGGGAAGUAACUGACGCUGAGAAGCGAAAGCAUGGGUAGCGAACAGG
Molecule: ribosomal RNA, 409 nt
Filed under: uncultured bacterium
Lineage: Bacteria
Description: bacterial SSU rRNA
Rfam family: Bacterial small subunit ribosomal RNA
Source: RNAcentral